AUAGUCUUAAUAUGUGCUGUCUCUCCCCUGCUCACAUGGCUCAAAGCAAAGAACUCCAAGAUGAUAGAAUGAGGAUCAACAGAUCCCAGAUUCCUAUGUCACUGAUUGAAGGAGUGACAGCCUGAGCAGCAGCCUCAACUGAUGAACUGUGAUGUUUUCUCUAGGAUACAGCAAAUAUCUGGAUUGCUUUGUUUUGUUUCAUUUUAGUCCAAUCUGAGGAUAUUUUUCUUUUGACUGGAUAAAAUCUUGAGAGUGGUACUACUUACUGCAUCAGAGAUUUUAAGCAUUUUUAUAGCUGUUCACAUGCAUUGUUGGAUUGCUUUCCAGCCAUUCUCUUCUUGAGUGGCUGACCUUUGUUCAGGGCAUUUUGCUGCUGGAGCCCACUGCUGCUGGUUUUUACACUGCAGGCCAGAAGUGCCAGCUAAUACCCCUCCGGAGCGGCUCUCACUCAGUGCCUGAAGGAAGUUGGGGGACUGGGCCGCGAUGACGUGAGCCCGGAGCUGCGUGCGCCCGUGUAGAAGGAGCCUGUCUGCCACAGCAUGGGAUGGAAGAGAGCUGAGGCGGCUGGAGAGCAAAGGGGUCCUGGCCAAAUCGAUGCGGUUCCUGAAUCCAGUCAACCUGAAGGCGGGCACCACGGCUUUCUCGCAACGCCGUGAGGUUCAGAAGACCUCCCACGACCGCAUGUCUUGGCCAGGAACAGCCAGUACCUGUGUGUCUCGGUGUCGGUGUCGGUCGUCCGCUCCGCGUGUCUGCCAUCUAGCUGCUCCACCUGUGAACGUUGAGGCCCCGGGGGCGGGGACGCGGGUGCCGGUAUUCGUCGCCACAGCGGUGACCCCCUGCUCUUCCCCCAACCCUCCCGGGCCACGUGAGGCCCAGGGAAGGACUCUGGGCCGCCGGCCGCUGGCUGCACUGGAGAACGGGUUCCUGCCCCUUCCCGGUCCCGCCGUCCUUCUAGCAGCUGCGCGGGCAGCCGCGUGCGUGCGGUG
This is a long non-coding RNA of Ailuropoda melanoleuca (giant panda), 986 nucleotides long. RefSeq lists it as uncharacterized. The record is from RefSeq and is a predicted model, not a curated record. NCBI's taxonomy places the organism in Eukaryota, Metazoa, Chordata, Mammalia, Carnivora, Ursidae. The transcript is spliced from 6 exons.